This 774-nucleotide ribosomal RNA is filed under the name uncultured Neocallimastigales. Its description in RNAcentral is "partial large subunit ribosomal RNA". It matches the Rfam family "Eukaryotic large subunit ribosomal RNA", at positions 24 to 627 of the family's 3401-position model. The record is from RNAcentral. Lineage: Eukaryota; Fungi; Neocallimastigomycota; Neocallimastigomycetes; Neocallimastigales.
UAUCUCUGUAGAGUCUGCAUAUCAAUAAGCGGAGGAAAAGAAACUAACUAGGAUUCCCUCAGUAACGGCGAGUGAAGCGGGAAGAGCUCAAAUUUGAAAUCUUCAAGGUUCUACCUUGACGAAUUGUAGUUUAAAGAAGUGUUUUCUGUUGGAUGUUUGGUAAAAGUUCUUUGGAAUAGGACAUCAUAGAGGGUGAGAAUCCCGUAUUUGACCAUUACUUCCAGCUUUGUGAUACACUUUCAAAGAGUCGGAUUGUUUGGGAAUGCAGUCCAAAAUGGGUGGUAAAUUUCAUCUAAAGCUAAAUAUUGGCGAGAGACCGAUAGCGAACAAGUACCGUGAGGGAAAGAUGAAAAGAACUUUGAAAAGAGAGUUAAACAGUACGUGAAAUUGUCAAAAGGGAAGCGUUUGACACCAGUGUUGUUUUCUCGAAAAUCAAUUAAAAAAGGCAGGAUUUUGUGUUGUAUUGACUUUAUCAGCUUUCUGCACUCUUUUCUUGUCUUUUUUAAUGCACUUUUCGUUUAACAAGUCAACAUCAAUUUCCUUUGUUGUAAAAGGGUCAUUGGAAGGUGGCUUUCUUUUCGGAGAAAGUGUUUAUAGCCUUUGGCCUCUGCAAUCGGAGAGAUUGAGGUCUGCAGCGUAGAUCCUUCGGGGUUAGAUACAUUUGUGCUAAGUUAUAGCCUUUCAUAGACAACUUGUUGACUAUGAUCAGUCAUGUAGCUUACUCGCUUAUGCUAUUUUACCUACGCUUAGGAUGUUGACGAUCAGCUGAGCGCG